This 253-nucleotide ribosomal RNA is filed under the name uncultured bacterium. RNAcentral describes it as "partial 16S ribosomal RNA". It matches the Rfam family "Bacterial small subunit ribosomal RNA", at positions 524 to 776 of the family's 1533-position model. The record is from RNAcentral.
UACGAAGGGGGCUAGCGUUGCUCGGAAUCACUGGGCGUAAAGCGCACGUAGGCGGCUUUUUAAGUCAGAGGUGAAAUCCUGGAGCUCAACUCCAGAACUGCCUUUGAUACUGAGAAGCUUGAGUCCGGGAGAGGUGAGUGGAACUGCGAGUGUAGAGGUGAAAUUCGUAGAUAUUCGCAAGAACACCCGUGGCGAAGGCGGCUCUCUGGGACGGUACUGACGCUGAGACGCGAAAGCGUGGGGAGCGAACAGG